RNAcentral lists this ribosomal RNA (362 nucleotides) under uncultured organism. RNAcentral's name for it is "bacterial SSU rRNA". It matches the Rfam family "Bacterial small subunit ribosomal RNA", at positions 526 to 896 of the family's 1533-position model. The record is from RNAcentral.
CGAAGGGGGCUAGCGUUGUUCGGAAUUACUGGGCGUAAAGCGCGCGCAGGCGGUUCUUCAAGUCAGAGGUGAAAGCCCAGAGCUCAACUCUGGAAUGGCCUUUGAGACUAGGGUACGGGAGAGGUGAAUGGAAUUCCGAGUGUAGAGGUGAAAUUCGUAGAUAUUCGGAAGAACACCAGUGGCGAAGGCGGCUCACUGGCCCGUUACCGACGCUCAGGCGCGACAGCGUGGGGAGCAAACAGGAUUAGAUACCCUGGUAGUCCACGCCGUAAACGAUGGAUGCUAGCCGUUGGUAAGCAUGCUUAUCAGUGGCGCAGCUAACGCAUUAAGCGUCCCGCCUGGGGAGUACGGCCGCAAGGUUG